AGUGCCGAGGAACAGGUCACGCUGGAAGUGCGGAGAGAGAAACCGCCCCGCAAACCUCCCCAGACAUCUGAUGCUACAACCCAGACUGAGGCCAGCUGGUGGGAUAAGCCGUGCCCAAACAGGGGGCACUGCAUCCCCUCGUGCUUCAAUUUCUACCUGGACAGCUCCUAUCGCAGUUACUUGCUGCCCCAGGACUGCAAUGAUGACAGCAAAUCUGACUGCCUGCUACCCACCUCCCGCCACGUGGAGAAAGAAGAGCCGGAUUAUGAGGCACUAGCCCUCAUUCACCAAAAGGAGCCGAGUUUCAGCAGCUGUUACACCAUCCC
Molecule: long non-coding RNA, 326 nt
Organism: Alligator sinensis (Chinese alligator)
Lineage: Eukaryota; Metazoa; Chordata; Crocodylia; Alligatoridae
Exons: 3
Source: RefSeq, a predicted model, not a curated record